GAGUUUGAUCCUGGCUCAGGAUGAACGCUAGCGGCAGGCCUAACACAUGCAAGUCGAACGGCAACAGGAAAUAGCUUGCUAUUUUGCUGACGAGUGGCGCACGGGUGCGUAACGCGUAUACAAUCUACCUUUUGCUGAGGGAUAGCCCAGAGAAAUUUGGAUUAAUACCUCAUGGUAUUAUUGAUAGGCAUCUAUUAAUAAUUAAAGGUUACGGCAAAAGAUGAGUAUGCGUCCCAUUAGCUAGUUGGUGAAGUAACGGUUCACCAAGGCAACGAUGGGUAGGGGUCCUGAGAGGGAGAUCCCCCACACUGGUACUGAGACACGGACCAGACUCCUACGGGAGGCAGCAGUGAGGAAUAUUGGACAAUGGGCGAGAGCCUGAUCCAGCCAUGCCGCGUGCAGGAAGACUGCCCUAUGGGUUGUAAACUGCUUUUAUACAGGAAGAAUAAGCCUUACGUGUAAGGUGAUGACGGUACUGUAAGAAUAAGGACCGGCUAACUCCGUGCCAGCAGCCGCGGUAAUA
Molecule: ribosomal RNA, 523 nt
Filed under: uncultured Flavobacteriia bacterium
Lineage: Bacteria; Pseudomonadati; Bacteroidota; Flavobacteriia
Description: bacterial SSU rRNA
Rfam family: Bacterial small subunit ribosomal RNA
Source: RNAcentral